GCAUAUCAAUAAGCGGAGGAAAAGAAACCAACAGGGAUUGCCUCAGUAACGGCGAGUGAAGCGGCAACAGCUCAAAUUUGAAAUCUGGCCGCAAGGUCCGAGUUGUAAUUUGCAGAGGAUGCUUUUGGUGAGGUGCUUUCCGAGUUCCCUGGAACGGGACGCCAUAGAGGGUGAGAGCCCCGUACGGUUACGCACCGAGCCUCUGUAAAGCUCCUUCGACGAGUCGAGUAGUUUGGGAAUGCUGCUCUAAAUGGGAGGUGUACGUCUUCUAAAGCUAAAUACCGGCCAGAGACCGAUAGCGCACAAGUAGAGUGAUCGAAAGAUGAAAAGCACUUUGAAAAGAGGGUUAAAAAGUACGUGAAAUUGUUGAAAGGGAAGCAUUUAUGACCAGACUUGGGCAUGGUUGAACAUCCGGCGUUCUCGCCGGUGCACUCUGCCAGCCCAGGCCAGCAUCAGUUUGCCCCGGGGGAUAAAGGCGGCGGGAAUGUAGCUCUCUCCGGGGAGUGUUAUAGCCCGUCGUGCAAUGCCCUGGGGCGGACUGAGGAACGCGC
This 551-nucleotide small RNA is filed under the name Sarocladium summerbellii. Its description in RNAcentral is "eukaryotic LSU rRNA". It matches the Rfam family "Eukaryotic large subunit ribosomal RNA", at positions 38 to 600 of the family's 3401-position model. The record is from RNAcentral. Lineage: Eukaryota; Fungi; Ascomycota; Sordariomycetes; Hypocreales; Sarocladiaceae.